This 819-nucleotide long non-coding RNA is filed under the name Callithrix jacchus (white-tufted-ear marmoset). Its description in RNAcentral is "lncRNA (ENSCJAG00000083932.1)". The record is from RNAcentral. Lineage: Eukaryota; Metazoa; Chordata; Mammalia; Primates; Cebidae.
UGGGGGAUCCACACUCGAAGUAGGUGGGAGAGUGCUGGAACACUAACGCAUGCCAUGGCCUCCCAUCAGAGGCAAUACCUUAUGCUUGACAAAUUGAGAAUUGGCAUCUAGUGACUUGGUUUAUUGAGAACUAGAUUAUAUAAAAAAUAUGUGUCCGGGAAAAACAUUUAAAUACUAUUUUGCCUGCCAGAGAGAAAUCUACCCUUAGUGGCUCACGGUGAUGUAGCUUAGAGAAGCUUAACCUUGCUGACUCUAUAUACAACAAAAUUAAUAAGGUGACCUUGAUGUUAGUCCACAAGAAAGGAACUUCUGGGGCUUUCCCUGACCAAUCUGUGAGAACCUGCCAACUGGAGAAACUAUACCAUACCAGGCUCUAGAACCUGUUGUCCAGGCCUCCCUAGAAUUCCCCAAUCUGAAACCAAAGGUAUCUUACAGCAAAAUAACAUGGUGAAAGGAUAAGAGAGUUGAACAAGCAGCAUAUGAAGUGAAGUUAUUUUAGAAUUCCACUGCUUUGGAGAAAUGGGGUCUUCAGCUGAGGCUAAGAGCCUAUCUAGUGCACCACACUGCGUGAAGCCAGCUUCGUGCAAUGGAUGCGUUUGGCAUUUACCAACAGUGAACAAGCACGAGCAGUGGAAUGCAAAAAUGUGUGCUGAUCAAAUGAACGUGAAAAUCUUCACCCAGGUCACCCGCCAGAAUCAGACUAAGGUCCCUGCUAUUUAAUGGAAAGGUUAAAAGAAGUUUACAGCUUUAAUGCCUGUGGCACACUGAUUACUUAAGAUUUUGAGGAUUAAAGCCUAUGAGAGCCUUUCGAGCAAGUUU